This 1349-nucleotide ribosomal RNA is filed under the name uncultured bacterium. RNAcentral's name for it is "bacterial SSU rRNA". It matches the Rfam family "Bacterial small subunit ribosomal RNA", at positions 28 to 1381 of the family's 1533-position model. The record is from RNAcentral.
GACGAACGCUGGCGGCGUGCUUAACACAUGCAAGUCGAACGAUGAAGCCUAGCUUGCUAGGUGGAUUAGUGGCGAACGGGUGAGUAAUACGUGAGUAACCUACCUUUAACUCUGGGAUAAGCCUGGGAAACUGGGUCUAAUACCGGAUACGACCAAUCUCCGCAUGGGGUGUUGGUGGAAAGCGUUAUGUAGUGGUUAUAGAUGGGCUCACGGCCUAUCAGCUUGUUGGUGAGGUAACGGCUCACCAAGGCGACGACGGGUAGCCGGCCUGAGAGGGUGACCGGCCACACUGGGACUGAGACACGGCCCAGACUCCUACGGGAGGCAGCAGUGGGGAAUAUUGCACAAUGGGCGCAAGCCUGAUGCAGCGACGCCGCGUGAGGGAUGACGGCCUUCGGGUUGUAAACCUCUGUUAGCAGGGAAGAAGAGAAAUUGACGGUACCUGCAGAGAAAGCGCCGGCUAACUACGUGCCAGCAGCCGCGGUAAUACGUAGGGCGCGAGCGUUGUCCGGAAUUAUUGGGCGUAAAGAGCUUGUAGGGCGGUUUGUCGCGUCUGCUGUGAAAGGCCGGGGCUUAACCCCGUGUAUUGCAGUGGGUACGGGCAGACUAGAGUGCAGUAGGGGAGACUGGAAUUCCUGGUGUAGCAGUGGAAUGCGCAGAUAUCCGGAGGAACACCGAUGGCGAAGGCAGGUCUCUGGGCUGUAACUGACGCUGAGAAGCGAAAGCAUGGGGAGCGAACAGGAUUAGAUACCCUGGUAGUCCAUGCCGUAAACGUUGGGCACUAGGUGUGGGGAACAUUCCACGUUUUCCGCGCCGUAGCUAACGCAUUAAGUGCCCCGCCUGGGGAGUACGGCCGCAAGGCUAAAACUCAAAGAAAUUGACGGGGGCCCGCACAAGCGGCGGAGCAUGCGGAUUAAUUCGAUGCAACGCGAAGAACCUUACCAAGGCUUGACAUAUACUGGACCGCAUCAGAGAUGGUGUUUCCCUUCGGGGCUGGUAUACAGGUGGUGCAUGGUUGUCGUCAGCUCGUGUCGUGAGAUGUUGGGUUAAGUCCCGCAACGAGCGCAACCCUCGUUCUAUGUUGCCAGCACGUAAUGGUGGGGACUCAUAGGAGACUGCCGGGGUCAACUCGGAGGAAGGUGGGGAUGACGUCAAAUCAUCAUGCCCCUUAUGUCUUGGGCUUCACGCAUGCUACAAUGGCCGGUACAGAGGGUUGCGAUACUGUGAGGUGGAGCUAAUCCCUAAAAGCCGGUCUCAGUUCGGAUUGGGGUCUGCAACUCGACCCCAUGAAGUCGGAGUCGCUAGUAAUCGCAGAUCAGCAACGCUGCGGUGAAUACGUUCCCGGGCCU